This 464-nucleotide ribosomal RNA is filed under the name uncultured bacterium. RNAcentral's name for it is "SSU rRNA". It matches the Rfam family "Bacterial small subunit ribosomal RNA", at positions 26 to 523 of the family's 1533-position model. The record is from RNAcentral.
AGAAUCAACGCUGGCGGCGUGCCUAACACAUGCAAGUCGCACGAGAAAGGGUAGCAAUACCUGAGUAAAGUGGCGCACGGGUGAGUAACACGUGAAUUAUCUACCUCCGAGUGGGGAAUAACUGAGAGAAAUCUUAGCUAAUACCGCAUAACACUUACGAGUCAAAGCAGCAAUGCGCUUGGAGAGGAGUUCGCGGCAGAUUAGUUAGUUGGCGGGGUAAUGGCCCACCAAGACGAUGAUCUGUAUCCGGCCUGAGAGGGCGCACGGACACACUGGAACUGAAACACGGUCCAGACUCCUACGGGAGGCAGCAGUGGGGAAUUUUGCGCAAUGGGGGAAACCCUGACGCAGCAACGCCGCGUGGAGGAUGAAAUAUCUUGGUAUGUAAACUCCUUUCGAUGGGGAAGAUUAUGACGGUACCCAUAGAAGAAGCCCGGCUAACUUCGUGCCAGCAGCCGCGGUAA